This 253-nucleotide ribosomal RNA is filed under the name uncultured bacterium. RNAcentral describes it as "partial 16S ribosomal RNA". It matches the Rfam family "Bacterial small subunit ribosomal RNA", at positions 524 to 776 of the family's 1533-position model. The record is from RNAcentral.
UACGUAGGGUGCAAGCGUUGUCCGGAAUUAUUGGGCGUAAAGAGCGUGUAGGCGGCCCGGUUAGUCCGCUGUGAAAGUCCAGGGCUCAACCCUGGAAUGCCGGUGGAUACUGUCGGGCUAGAGUCCGGAAGGGGCGAGUGGAAUUCCUGGUGUAGCGGUGAAAUGCGCAGAUAUCAGGAGGAACACCAAUGGCGAAGGCAGCUCGCUGGGACGUGACUGACGCUGAGACGCGAAAGCGUGGGGAGCAAACAGG